GGAUUUGGGAGCGGCGGGAUGGACGGAUGGACGGCUGGGGUGGACGAGGAGCCGAGAGCAGCCGGUUCCGUUCAAGCACUGUUGAAGCGAGAACGCGGCUGUGGCUGCUCAAAACCCGGCGGGGGCUUUUAUAGCGCGUCCCCGCUGGGCGGGGAAAAGGGGGCACUCCCCUCCUCUGUCCCCUCCGGCAGGGUGCGGUGGCCUUGGCCCUUGUCCGUGUUUGUCACACGGUCCCACAGUCAGCAUGACUGGGCAGGAUCGUGGAGGAGUCCGAGCCCACGUGUGUGCCCCCCCAGGAGUGGUCCCCCGGGGCGCGGAGGGGGCGGCUGGGGGAAAGCCCCGGUUCCCUGCUGGCUUGGGGGGCACAGGGAGCCUGGCGGAGGUUGGGGAGGAGCUGGGGGGUGUUCGUUGGGUGUCCUGCCAGGUCCUGAGGUGCCGAUGCCCGUUAAUCGGACUUUGAUAGGUUAUAGGGUGCGGAAGGAGGUGACUCGGCGCCAGGAGCAUAAAAGAGGAACUUGGCCUCGGGGAAACGCUGACUCCGCUUUUCCACCGCUCCAGGACUGGGGCGAACUCGGGGAAACCGGUUGGAACUGGGAGCCCCACAGCGCUUCCCUUCUCAUCCCUCAUCCCUUGGGGUGCCCGCAGCUCCGGAGGGGGCCCGGCUCGGCUGGAGCUGAGAAGAGAGUCCGGGGAGAAGGGGGAGCAGCAGCCCCAGAUACCCGGAGACCACCCCCCACCCCACCGAAGCUAUCCCAAAGUCCCUUUGGCGCUGGAUCCAGAGGCUGCGCUGCAGGAAGGACACGGCCCCGUGGAGGACGGUCCAGAUGUGGGACCCCCACCCCAACACCCCUCCGCGGCUGUUCAGUGAACCCCGGGAUUGGGAACCCCCACACGCGUUUUCAAGUCCCACUGACGCCAAACAUCCCCCUGGCCCUGCGGGCGGGAAGGCCCCUCUCCGGCAGGCACCCCUCCCCACUUCUGCUCCCUCAACCAGGACCCCCAGUCCCGGAGAUGUUGUUGAACAAAAGAGAAGGGGAAGGGACCCCGAUUCCCCUCACAACGGCCCGGGGCAGCCGCCCCCCCAC
Molecule: long non-coding RNA, 1085 nt
Filed under: Cyanistes caeruleus (blue tit)
Lineage: Eukaryota; Metazoa; Chordata; Aves; Passeriformes; Paridae
Description: lncRNA (ENSCCEG00000004628.1)
Source: RNAcentral